AAGAUAAGAUUAGAAACACUUUGCUGUAGGUAUAUAUACGUAGCCAUGAAUUACGUUGGGAAGUGUUAAACAUGAAAAGUUUCAUUCUAUGCACUGUGUUGGUCUUGGCGUUAGUUGAGCUGUCAAUGGCUGGUGUCUCAAAAUGCUACGUAGGGCCAAAAUCCAGUUGUGACUGUAAAUGGUUAUUUGGUUCGUGUGAUGACGGAUAUUUCAACUGCGGCAGAGACGAGUUAAACAUUUGCGGAUUAUGGUACGUAACCUGCUGCAAAAUUUCUGAUUCCUAGAUGGCGCUGCCUCUACAUUAAUUAUUUCUGUUACAAUGUCAAUAAAAUUGUUAUAAAUUAUUAACUUUUUCUGUAUUGUUGUUUGUAUGCGUUUGCGUAUAUGAAAUAUGUAGCAUUGAGAAUGUAGUACCUAUGUAAAAUCCUUACGCAUUAAAUUAAAUUAACUAAA
This is a long non-coding RNA of Photinus pyralis (common eastern firefly), 453 nucleotides long. RefSeq lists it as uncharacterized. The record is from RefSeq and is a predicted model, not a curated record. Lineage: Eukaryota; Metazoa; Arthropoda; Insecta; Coleoptera; Lampyridae. The transcript has 2 exons.